CCUACGGGAGGCUGCAGUGGGGAAUAUUGGACAAUGGGGGGAACCCUGAUCCAGCCAUGCCGCGUGUGUGAAGAAGGCCCUCGGGUUGUAAAGCACUUUCAGUGAGGAAGAACGCCUGGUGGUUAAUACCCAUCAGGAAAGACAUCACUCACAGAAGAAGCACCGGCUAACUCCGUGCCAGCAGCCGCGGUAAUACGGAGGGUGCGAGCGUUAAUCGGAAUUACUGGGCGUAAAGCGCGCGUAGGUGGCUUGAUAAGCCGGUUGUGAAAGCCCCGGGCUCAACCUGGGAACGGCAUCCGGAACUGUCAAGCUAGAGUGCAGGAGAGGAAGGUAGAAUUCCCGGUGUAGCGGUGAAAUGCGUAGAGAUCGGGAGGAAUACCAGUGGCGAAGGCGGCCUUCUGGACUGACACUGACACUGAGGUGCGAAAGCGUGGGUAACAAACAGGAUUAGAUACCCUGGUAGUC
Molecule: ribosomal RNA, 465 nt
Filed under: Vreelandella stevensii
Lineage: Bacteria; Pseudomonadati; Pseudomonadota; Gammaproteobacteria; Oceanospirillales; Halomonadaceae
Description: partial 16S ribosomal RNA
Rfam family: Bacterial small subunit ribosomal RNA
Source: RNAcentral